GGACCACGAAUUGCAUAUGCUUCAAGCAACUUAAAUCUUUCAAGUUAAGUCAUGUAAGUCACUAUUACACUAUGGAUUAAUUUGACCAAUUUUUAUAUAUUAACUUAAGUCCCUCACAAACACGUUUACCACAAUGAGAAACUAUGUAGUAUGCAUAUAUUUAACUAGUCAAAAAUAUAAAACAUAAAAACUGCCACAAUUAAAGGGGCGGCUCUUUUUUUUUUUUUUGGUUUUUCAUUCGGUGUUUGAUAUUUAUAUUGGAGCCCGACUAAAUUUGGAUUCGCGCCAGGGAGUCUCAUAUUGGGGCAAAACACUUCUUAAUAAAGGGGACUCCAUACCUAUGGUCUCGAGGCCUCUGGUUAAGGAUGGAGGAGCACUUAGCACUUUAUCACAACCUUUAUUGGCGGCUCAACGUAUUUUCUGGUCUAAAGUCAAAAUAUACUAAAAAAGCCUUUAAUUUUUUUUUUUAAAAAUCCAAUUUAUACUGAGAUACAAAGCAAGCUUCUAGGACUUUGGCUUGAUGGUAAUAGCAUAACGCGAGACGUGUGAAUUAGAUUCACGAUUUGAAACUUUGUUAUAACUAAAAAUAUGGUAUUAAUUAAUUGGUAGAAGGUAGAGAAGGCACGACAAUAAUCUGUGAGACUUUCGAACCUUGUGCCCAAUUGCAUUGGGGGAUUUCUCUUAACAAGAUAGAACAAAAAAUGAUUACUUUCUAUGAAUUAAUCAAUAAAUUAUGGUGAAAAGAAAUAGCCAAUUCAGAAAAAUUGAGUUAGAAUUAAAAAGUAAAAUCAUUAGAAAGAAAAUAUAUGGGUGUAAAUAGAGGAGAAAAUUUAAAUUUGGUAAUGUCAAUUUUAUCAAACGAAAGAGAAAUUUAUCGUUAUUUAUCACUAAAUUAUAUAACUAUUAUUAUAAUUUUUAAAAUAUUUUAUUAAUAAUAAUUACAUAAAAUAUAUGUGAUAUCAAAUACUUAAAAUUGGGAUUGUUAAUAUUUCAGGGACACAAGCCAAUGACUUCAUUUGCUUGUUUUUGGUAAUCAUUUUGAGAGAUUCUUAACUUAGUCCUGAAUUAGAGAAAAAGAAGAAAAGGUUUUAUUUGUGAUCCAAAAAUUAAUCAAACCAAACAAUGUUUGAAAUGUCUAAAUUAAUCCAAUUAUUAUUAGUGAAUUCUAAUGAAUGACCAUGAUUUAGAACGUUAAGGCAUAAUCAUUAGGAUGCAUCAAAAGAAACACAAGGGUUUCAUUUAUGAUCCAAAAGCCAAUCUUACUAAAGAAUGUUUGACUAAGGUCAACUGUGAUGAUGUUCAUCAGUUCAUGUCCACAUUGCACGUGUAUUCCAAGUGUACUGCACUAUCAUUAUUCAUUAAACAAGCCCUUGCUAAAUUAGGGUUAGUUUGCAUGUAACUAGAUUUAUUCUACCGUAUAUAUAGUUAUAUACUACUUUUCACUAAUAUAUAGUGAUGGAAGAUGAGUGGGUCCGGUCAAAUAUAAGCGGAUAAAAAAAUAGUAAUGCAAAAUAAAAAAAUUAUUUGACCCAAUUCAUAUUUAAUAUGAAUAAAAAAUAUGUUAAUCGGUUAAUAAUAUGAAUAUUCAUAUUAUUUAUGACUUCUUAAAUAUUAUCUCUUUUGAAAGAAUUUCUAGUCUAUCAAACAUGAAGAACCACGAUUUGAGGCUUUACAAAUAUAAAAGUUAAACACAUAAAUUAUUUAUUUUUUAAUAAAUAAUAUGAAUGAAUAAUUUCUUUUUAUCUAUUUUGCCAACAUUAUUAAUACAGAUAUCGGAUAGUUCUAUUUUACUAAAAUUUGGUCAUAUACGAAAGUACGAAACAAUCACUUAAUUUUUCUUUUCACCAUUGAAGUUUGAACCAGAAACUUUAUAGUAAAAAUUGUAUUUAAAUUUUCCAGAUGGAGAUAUCUUGUUAUUCUAGCUAGUACUAUGGAACUUGAGGAUACAUUUACUUAUUUCUUCGUAUAUUUCUCUUUCCAAGCUCACGAAAAUAAUUUUUUAAUGAGUGUGAAUUUGAGAAUCUAAACGAUAUAACUGGUAAGAUAAAAGGGGUUAGUUUUGAUAGCAAGUAACUUUUACUUUUAAUAAAAAAAAAACAAAGUAAGAAAUUUUUGUGGAGUUGUUAUUGUCCCAAGGUAGAGGUAAUGCGUACACACUACUUAUUGUUGUUGUUGUCCCAGGGUAGGAGUAAGGUUUGCGUACUGUAUCACGUUAGAUCAGCUUAAUAAUUAGAAUUAAAAUUUAAAUAUUCAAAAUCAAUAUAAAAAUACUAUCAAUUCGAUUUUUCUCAUUUAAUAUGUUGAAAAUAUGUGAAAUGUUCGUCAUCGAGUUAGAUUAUUCUGAAGUAGCUAAUUGUCUUAGUUUUAUUCGGAGUUGAGCUUUGAAAAUGAAGUUUCUUUUAAUAGCGAAUGCUAAAAUUAAACUUCGACGCUGAAUGUGUAAAAAAAUUAUUUUUAUUUCUGGAAAGACUUUUCUAAACUUAACUGCUAUAAAUAAUACAUUUUAUAUAUAUCAUUUUCCUCUCUAACAAGAAAUGUUAUACUUUCUCCGUCUCAAUUUAUAUGUCAUUCUUUCCAUUUUGGUAUGUCCCGAAAAGAAAGUCAUAUAUAUGUUUUUAUUUAAGAGUGAUUCAACUUUAAAGUUACUAUUUUAUAAUUAAUGAGAUGAUUUAUAACUAUAAAAAUAUUUAUAAUUUAUUUUAAACUAUAAAUUUAAAACAAAAAUAUAUUAAAUUUUGUGUCGCAUAAAACACCGCUAUAUAUAUUGGGACUUAGAAAGUAGUAAGUUUUAAUUUUUCUCUCGGAUAUUUCUCCCUUUUGUGGUUUGGGUAGGGAGAAUAAUUGGUAAAAAGAAAUGUGCAGCUUUUUGUUUUUAAAGUUAUGCUUUUAAUAUAUAGCAUGUAGAGAGAUUUUGGGCAUCAAAUAAAAGCCAACCCCACUCACAUAAUAAUAAUUGGUAACUAAUAGAAAAGCAAAAGCAAAAGUAGGUUAAUAAUUUCUUCAAUAAAAGAUCUCACGAGGAGCUAUUAUAUCACCAAUCUCGAGCUUGUCUUGAGAUUCUCACCUUUUUGGCAUGGUUAUGUCUUUUUGUACUUGUAAUAAUUAUCGAUAAAUAUUUUUUCUUUUACUUUUCCUUUUCAUUUCUUAUUUCCCCACUUAAAUAAAGCAUGUUUACAUGCAGAAAAUUUCUACACUUGGCUCUUCGACAGAAUAGUAAACUUGUUUCCUUUUACUAUUAAACUUUUCUUCGAUAUUGUAGCAUAUUGGAAUUUUCUCAGUAAAUAACGUUUCUCCUUUACCUGACCUUGUGAUAAGAAUUUGAGUAAGUCGAGAUUCUAAUAUUCAUACCAAGUACCAAGUGAAAAACCAAAAAAAAAUAUAAUAAUAAUAAUAAAUCUAAUAUAAUUUAAUAAGAUAAGGUCUGGAAAAGAUAAUUAUAUAUAAGUAGAUCUUAUCCCUAAAAAUAAAAGGACUAUUUUUGAUAAAUCCUCUUUUCAAGAAGAAAUAACAAAAAAUAAAAUAACAAGCAAUAACAAAACUAAAAAACAAUAUACAGCAUACUAGUUAAUUGAGUGUCUUUUGUCAUUGGAAUUGAAUUUAAAUGGUAACACUUACAUUCAGCAUCAUAUGGGAAUAGGAUCUUAAUUAAUUCCGUCCUCUAUCUUUUUCCAUGUCAACUACUCUGGCUCAUUUCGAACCCCAGAAAUAUUAUUGGUCAAAAAAG
This 3724-nucleotide long non-coding RNA is filed under the name Nicotiana benthamiana. Its description in RNAcentral is "long non-coding RNA (NBEN_LNC017388)". The record is from RNAcentral. Lineage: Eukaryota; Viridiplantae; Streptophyta; Magnoliopsida; Solanales; Solanaceae.